CCAACAUGGGCAUCCAACGAGGUGGCUCUCGCAUGGCUCUGCCCAUGUGGCGUAUGGGAGCCUAGCUCCAUUGGGGCAUUGAAGUAGAGUCCCAUUCCACAAUGUUGGACAGAAAGCUUUUCCCUCUUUGCUGAAAAGGCUGUGAUGGGAGGCGUCCUGUAUAUUCCUACAACUUCUCAGUAUUUAUGGUUGCUGAGAAGACAAACCAUGCAGGACACAUGU
Molecule: small nucleolar RNA, 222 nt
Organism: Elgaria multicarinata webbii
Lineage: Eukaryota; Metazoa; Chordata; Lepidosauria; Squamata; Anguidae
Product: small nucleolar RNA SNORA73 family
Exons: 1
Source: RefSeq, a predicted model, not a curated record